GGAUCAUUAAAGAGUUUAAUAAAACUCCUAAACCCCUGUGAACUCACUAUGUUGGAUUCUCGCCAGAGAUAGUCUGGUUUCUGCUUCGCGGAUCGCCUGCCCGUGACACCUGUCACAGGUAGGUAUGCUUCUGCCGCGGGUCCGCAGGUAAAUCGUCUGUUUCACAAGGGACGGCGAUUUUACCUGUGGAAGAGGUCCGCUAACUAUAUUCUUAGUAUAGUUUGUUCACUAGAUCAAACAUUCUGAAUAAAAACUUAAACUAGUUAAAACUUUCAACAACGGAUCUCUUGGUUCUGGCAUCGAUGAAGAACGCAGCGAAAUGCGAUAAGUAAUGUGAAUUGCAGAAUUCAGUGAAUCAUCGAAUCUUUGAACGCACAUUGCGCCCAUUAGUAUUCUAGUGGGCAUGCCUGUUCGAGCGUCAUUUCAACCCUUAAGCCUCUGUUGCUUAGCGUUGGGAGCCUACAGCCUGCUGUAGCUCCUUAAAGGUAGUGGCGGAGUCGGUUCACACUCUAGACGUAGUAAAAUCUUUAUCUCGCCUAUAGAUGAGCCGGCGCCUUGCCGUAAAACCCCUACUCUUUCACAAGGUUGACCUCGGAUCAGGUAGGAAUACCCGCUGAACUUAAGCAUAUCAAUAAGCGGAGGAAAAGAAACCAACAGGGAUUGCCCUAGUAACGGCGAGUGAAGCGGCAACAGCUCAAAUUUGAAAUCUGGCCUUCGGGUCCGAGUUGUAAUUUGCAGAGGAUGCUUUGGGCGCGGUGCCUUCCGAGUUCCCUGGAACGGGACGCCUUAGAGGGUGAGAGCCCCGUACGGUUGGACACCAAGCCUCUGUAAAGCUCCUUCGACGAGUCGAGUAGUUUGGGAAUGCUGCUCUAAAUGGGAGGUAAAUUUCUUCUAAAGCUAAAUAUUGGCCAGAGACCGAUAGCGCACAAGUAGAGUGAUCGAAAGAUGAAAAGCACUUUGAAAAGAGGGUUAAAUAGCACGUGAAAUUGUUGAAAGGGAAGCGUUUGCGACCAGACCUUUUCCCAGCGGAUCAUCCGGUGUUCUCACCGGUGCACUUCGCUGGGUUGAGGCCAGCAUCGGUUUCCGCAGGGGGAUAAAAGCCUGGGGAACGUAGCUCCCUCGGGAGUGUUAUAGCCCCUCGCAUAAUACCCUUGCGGGGACCGAGGACCGCGCU
This 1174-nucleotide ribosomal RNA is filed under the name Xylaria sp. genotype 293. RNAcentral describes it as "eukaryotic LSU rRNA". The stretch from base 587 to 1174 matches the Rfam family "Eukaryotic large subunit ribosomal RNA", at positions 1 to 599 of the family's 3401-position model. The record is from RNAcentral. Lineage: Eukaryota; Fungi; Ascomycota; Sordariomycetes; Xylariales; Xylariaceae.